CACGUAGGGCGCAAGCGUUGUCCGGAAUUAUUGGGCGUAAAGAGCUCGUAGGCGGUCUGUUGCGUCCGCUGUGAAAACUCGGGGCUUAACCCCGAGCCUGCAGUGGAUACGGGCAGACUAGAGGUAGGUAGGGGAGAAUGGAAUUCCCGGUGUAGCGGUGAAAUGCGCAGAUAUCGAGAGGAACACCGGUGGCGAAGGCGGCUAUCUGGACAGAAACUGACGCUGAGACGCGAAAGCGUGGGGAGCAAACAGG
Molecule: ribosomal RNA, 253 nt
Filed under: uncultured bacterium
Lineage: Bacteria
Description: partial 16S ribosomal RNA
Rfam family: Bacterial small subunit ribosomal RNA
Source: RNAcentral